Molecule: ribosomal RNA, 1550 nt
Filed under: Pectobacterium brasiliense
Lineage: Bacteria; Pseudomonadati; Pseudomonadota; Gammaproteobacteria; Enterobacterales; Pectobacteriaceae
Description: bacterial SSU rRNA
Rfam family: Bacterial small subunit ribosomal RNA
Source: RNAcentral
AAAUUGAAGAGUUUGAUCAUGGCUCAGAUUGAACGCUGGCGGCAGGCCUAACACAUGCAAGUCGAGCGGUAGCACAGAAGAGCUUGCUCUUUGGGUGACGAGCGGCGGACGGGUGAGUAAUGUCUGGGAAACUGCCUGAUGGAGGGGGAUAACUACUGGAAACGGUAGCUAAUACCGCAUAACCUCGCAAGAGCAAAGAGGGGGACCUUCGGGCCUCUCGCCAUCAGAUGUGCCCAGAUGGGAUUAGCUAGUAGGUGAGGUAAUGGCUCACCUAGGCGACGAUCCCUAGCUGGUCUGAGAGGAUGACCAGCCACACUGGAACUGAGACACGGUCCAGACUCCUACGGGAGGCAGCAGUGGGGAAUAUUGCACAAUGGGCGCAAGCCUGAUGCAGCCAUGCCGCGUGUGUGAAGAAGGCCUUCGGGUUGUAAAGCACUUUCAGCGGGGAGGAAGGCGGUAAGGUUAAUAACCUUGCUGAUUGACGUUACCCGCAGAAGAAGCACCGGCUAACUCCGUGCCAGCAGCCGCGGUAAUACGGAGGGUGCAAGCGUUAAUCGGAAUGACUGGGCGUAAAGCGCACGCAGGCGGUCUGUUAAGUUGGAUGUGAAAUCCCCGGGCUUAACCUGGGAACUGCAUUCAAAACUGACAGGCUAGAGUCUUGUAGAGGGGGGUAGAAUUCCAGGUGUAGCGGUGAAAUGCGUAGAGAUCUGGAGGAAUACCGGUGGCGAAGGCGGCCCCCUGGACAAAGACUGACGCUCAGGUGCGAAAGCGUGGGGAGCAAACAGGAUUAGAUACCCUGGUAGUCCACGCUGUAAACGAUGUCGAUUUGGAGGUUGUGCCCUUGAGGCGUGGCUUCCGGAGCUAACGCGUUAAAUCGACCGCCUGGGGAGUACGGCCGCAAGGUUAAAACUCAAAUGAAUUGACGGGGGCCCGCACAAGCGGUGGAGCAUGUGGUUUAAUUCGAUGCAACGCGAAGAACCUUACCUACUCUUGACAUCCAGAGAAUUUGCUAGAGAUAGCUUAGUGCCUUCGGGAACUCUGAGACAGGUGCUGCAUGGCUGUCGUCAGCUCGUGUUGUGAAAUGUUGGGUUAAGUCCCGCAACGAGCGCAACCCUUAUCCUUUGUUGCCAGCGAUUCGGUCGGGAACUCAAAGGAGACUGCCGGUGAUAAACCGGAGGAAGGUGGGGAUGACGUCAAGUCAUCAUGGCCCUUACGAGUAGGGCUACACACGUGCUACAAUGGCGUAUACAAAGAGAAGCGACCUCGCGAGAGCAAGCGGACCUCAUAAAGUACGUCGUAGUCCGGAUUGGAGUCUGCAACUCGACUCCAUGAAGUCGGAAUCGCUAGUAAUCGUAGAUCAGAAUGCUACGGUGAAUACGUUCCCGGGCCUUGUACACACCGCCCGUCACACCAUGGGAGUGGGUUGCAAAAGAAGUAGGUAGCUUAACCUUCGGGAGGGCGCUUACCACUUUGUGAUUCAUGACUGGGGUGAAGUCGUAACAAGGUAACCGUAGGGGAACCUGCGGUUGGAUCACCUCCUUACCAAGAAG